This 882-nucleotide ribosomal RNA is filed under the name uncultured archaeon. Its description in RNAcentral is "bacterial SSU rRNA". It matches the Rfam family "Archaeal small subunit ribosomal RNA", at positions 33 to 922 of the family's 1478-position model. The record is from RNAcentral.
GGGAGGGUCGACUAGCAUGCGAGUCGAUGUAGCAAUACAUGGCGAACUGCUCAGUAACACGUGGACAACCUGCCCUUAGGUUGGGUAUAAACCCGGGAAACUGGGUAUAAUACCCGAUAGGUCUCGAUUGCCGGAAUGCAUCGAGAUUUAAAGCUCCGGCGCCUAAGGAUGGGUCUGCGGCCUAUCAGGUAGUAGUGGGUGUAGCGUACCUACUAGCCUACGACGGGUACGGGUUGUGAGAGCAAGAGCCCGGAGAUGGAUUCUGAGACACGAAUCCAGGCCCUACGGGGUGCAGCAGGCGCGAAAACUUUACAAUGCUGGCAACAGCGAUAAGGGAACCUCGAGUGCCAGGUUACAAAUCUGGCUGUCGAGAUGCCUAAAAAGCAUUUCAUAGCAAGGGCCGGGCAAGACCGGUGCCAGCCGCCGCGGUAACACCGGCGGCUCGAGUGGUAACCGUUAUUAUUGGGUCUAAAGGGUCUGUAGCCGGCCGGAUAAGUCUCUUGAGAAAUCUGGCAGCUUAACUGUCAGGCUUUCAGGAGAUACUGUCUGGCUCGAGGCCGGGAGAGGUGAGAGGUACUUCAGGGGUAGGGGUGAAAUCUUGUAAUCCUUGAAGGACCACCAGUGGCGAAGGCGUCUCACCAGAACGGACCUGACGGCAAGGGACGAAAGCUAGGGGCACGAACCGGAUUAGAUACCCGGGUAGUCCUAGCCGUAAACGAUACUCGCUAGGUGUCGGCCACGGUGCGACCGUUGUCGGUGCCGUAGGGAAGCCGUGAAGCGAGCCACCUGGGGAAGUACGGCCGCAAGGCUGAAACUUAAAGGAAUUGGCGGGGGAGCACCACAACGGGUGGAGCUUGCGGUUUAAUUGGAUUCAACGCCGGG